RNAcentral lists this ribosomal RNA (465 nucleotides) under uncultured bacterium. RNAcentral describes it as "partial 16S ribosomal RNA". It matches the Rfam family "Bacterial small subunit ribosomal RNA", at positions 338 to 795 of the family's 1533-position model. The record is from RNAcentral.
CCUACGGGUGGCAGCAGUGGGGAAUAUUGCGCAAUGGGCGAAAGCCUGACGCAGCGACGCCGCGUGAGGGAUGAAGGUCUUCGGAUCGUAAACCUCUGUCAGCAGGGAGGAACGGUCACUGUGCUAAUCAGCAGUGAAUUGACGGUACCUGCAAAGGAAGCACCGGCUAACUCCGUGCCAGCAGCCGCGGUAAUACGGAGGGUGCGAGCGUUAAUCGGAAUUACUGGGCGUAAAGGGCGCGUAGGCGGUAUGUCAAGUCAAGGGUGAAAUCCCCGGGCUCAACGUGGGAACUGCCUUUGAAACUGGCAAACUGGAGUGUGUGAGAGGAUAGUGGAAUUCCAGGUGUAGGAGUGAAAUCCGUAGAUAUCUGGAGGAACAUCAGUGGCGAAGGCGACUAUCUGGAACAUAACUGACGCUGAGGAGCGAAAGCGUGGGUAGCAAACAGGAUUAGAUACCCCAGUAGUC